This 574-nucleotide ribosomal RNA is filed under the name Costus bracteatus. RNAcentral's name for it is "eukaryotic LSU rRNA". The stretch from base 238 to 391 matches the Rfam family "5.8S ribosomal RNA". The record is from RNAcentral. Lineage: Eukaryota; Viridiplantae; Streptophyta; Magnoliopsida; Zingiberales; Costaceae.
CAAGGAAUGACAGCGAAUACGUAAAUCAAGUGUCACUGUUGGCUUUGGCGGGCAAGGUCCCCUUUGGCCCAGUGGCUUCGUGCGCCCCAUCCCAUCUCAUCCCAUUGGGGUCGGAUGGGUGGGACGAACCAUGAAAGCCCGGCGCAAUGGGCGCCAAGGAACACAAACCUCGGGGGCACAUGUUUGGGGCCAUGUUGGCCUCUAAUGCACUCCCGUGUAUGAAUCCAAACCUCACAUGACUCUCGGCAACGGAUAUCUCCUCUCGCAUCGAUGAAGAACGUAGCGAAAUGUGAUAUUUGGUGUGAAUUGCAGAAUCCCGUGAACCAUCGAGUCUUUGAACGCAAGUUGCGCCCGAGGCCUUGCGGCUAAGGGCACGCCUGCCUGGGCGUCACUCUUUCGACGCUCCACACCCAUCCCCAUGGCAUGGGCAAUGGAUGCGGAAGUUGGCCCCCCGUGUGCGAGGCACCCUUGCAUGUGGUCGGCCAAAGACUUUGUCUAUCGCGUGUCCCCAAGGACAUGAUGGGUGGUGGAUGCCCUUGAGCAUGCUCAAAACAUUAUGCCUUGACACGUGUGC